RNAcentral lists this long non-coding RNA (588 nucleotides) under Struthio camelus australis. Its description in RNAcentral is "lncRNA (ENSSCUG00000015168.1)". The record is from RNAcentral. Lineage: Eukaryota; Metazoa; Chordata; Aves; Struthioniformes; Struthionidae.
GAACUCUAUGAAAUCAUUUACCUUACACUUACUCUAGCCCAACAGGCAGAGCAGAACAGCCCUUGCAGAGCUUCAGCCCACCAGACUGGAUUGCUUCCAGUUUCUGAGCUAGCGAAUUAAAUUUCUCUUGGGCAGUGAGAUGUCACAGUGCAGUCUGCAACACAGGUCAGAUCCCAGGAGCCCCCAGUACUCUGGACAAACAAAAUGAAACAGAAAAAAAAGCAAAACGAAAAGGUCCUUGCCUGCAGUCUAACUCCACUUUACUUACAGUAUUAUGACCAUACUCAUUUAACAAUACCAGAAGCGUGUCUCCGAUGGAACAUCUUUCUCCGCUAAAAGAAUGAAAUAUUUUUCUAUAUCUAGUUUUACAUCUGUGUCAACUGAGGUAUACGAAAAACAAGCAAUCUGAUGAGAUUCACAGGGGGGUUUCUUUCAACUUUCUGUUCUCGCUACUUCAUUUGGAGAUUGUCAUCAUUGAGUAUUUCCAAUUCAGACUGCUCCAUGGACAAGCCUUUUAAAGAGCAGAACAGAAGGAAAAUUGUGAAGGCUUCCAGCUGCUCAGCUGAAAGCUGAAGAUGAUCUGGUGUG